Molecule: ribosomal RNA, 440 nt
Filed under: uncultured bacterium
Lineage: Bacteria
Description: bacterial SSU rRNA
Rfam family: Bacterial small subunit ribosomal RNA
Source: RNAcentral
CCUACGGGGGGCUGCAGUGGGGAAUAUUGCACAAUGGGGGAAACCCUGAUGCAGCAACGCCGCGUGAGCGAUGAAGGCUUUCGGGUCGUAAAGCUAUGUCCUAAGGGAAGAAUACUGACGGUACCUUAGGAGGAAGCCACGGCUAACUACGUGCCAGCAGUCGCGGUAUUACGUAGGGGGCUAGCGUUAUCCGGAAUUACUGGGCGUGAAGGGUGCGUUGGCGGCCCUUCAAGUCAGUGGUUAAAGGCUACGGCUCAACCGUAGUAAGCCUUUGAAACUGUAGGGCUUGAGUGCAGGCGAGGAAAGUGGAGUUCCCAGUGUAGCGGUGAAAUGCGUAGAUAUUGGGAGGAACACCAGUUGCGAAGGCGGCUCUCUGGACUGUAACUGACGCUGAGGCACGAAAGCGUGGGGAGCGAACAGGAUUAGAUACCCUAUUAGUC